CCCUUAGAGGUCCUGGGCCGCACGCGCGCUACACUGAUGCAUUCAACGAGUAUUUCCUUGGCCGAGAGGCCUGGGCAAUCUUUUAAACCUGCAUCGUGAUAGGGAUAGAUUAUUGCAAUUAUUAAUCUUGAACGAGGAAUUCCUAGUAAACGCAAAUCAUCAAUUUGCAUUGAUUACGUCCCUGCCCUUUGUACACACCGCCCGUCGCACCUACCGAUUGAAUGGUCCGGUGAAAUCUCGGGAUUGUGGCCAGUUCACUUUAUUGGGAGUUGGCUGCGAGAACUUGCUUAAACCUUAUCAUUUAGAGGAAGGUGAAGUCGUAACA
RNAcentral lists this ribosomal RNA (325 nucleotides) under uncultured eukaryote. RNAcentral's name for it is "partial 18S ribosomal RNA". It matches the Rfam family "Eukaryotic small subunit ribosomal RNA", at positions 1470 to 1796 of the family's 1831-position model. The record is from RNAcentral.